GUCUAGCCUGCUCACUGACAAAAAGUGUUAAAUAGCCGCGGUAUUUUGACCGUGCAAAGGUAGCAUAAUCAUUAGUUUUUUAAUUGGAAACUUGUAUGAAUGGUUGGACAAAGAAAAGACUGUCUCUUUUAUUAAAAUUGAAAUUAACUUCUAAGUGAAAAGGCUUAGAUUUUCUAGAGGGACGAUAAGACCCUAUAAAGCUUCAUAAGUUAAAUAAAUUAGAUGGAUUUUUAAAAUAAAAGUAAAUUUAGUAAGCUUAUUUAGUUGGGGCGACAAGGGUAUAAAAUUAAAUAACUGCUAUUAAGGUUAGACAAUUAUAUUUGGUUGGAUUGUAAUUGAUCCUCGCUAUGGAUUAAAAGAUUAAGUUACUUUAGGGAUAACAGCGUAAUUUCUUUUAAGAGUUCUUAUCAAAGGAGAAGUUUGCGACCUCGAUGUUGAAUUAAAAUGUCUUUAUAGUGCAGAAGCUAUAAAAGAAGGUCUGUUCGACCUUUAAUUUUUUACAUGAUUUGAGU
Molecule: ribosomal RNA, 512 nt
Filed under: Scylla serrata (giant mud crab)
Lineage: Eukaryota; Metazoa; Arthropoda; Malacostraca; Decapoda; Portunidae
Description: partial large subunit ribosomal RNA
Rfam family: Archaeal large subunit ribosomal RNA
Source: RNAcentral